This 465-nucleotide ribosomal RNA is filed under the name Vreelandella stevensii. Its description in RNAcentral is "partial 16S ribosomal RNA". It matches the Rfam family "Bacterial small subunit ribosomal RNA", at positions 338 to 795 of the family's 1533-position model. The record is from RNAcentral. Lineage: Bacteria; Pseudomonadati; Pseudomonadota; Gammaproteobacteria; Oceanospirillales; Halomonadaceae.
CCUACGGGAGGCAGCAGUGGGGAAUAUUGGACAAUGGGCGAAAGCCUGAUCCAGCCAUGCCGCGUGUGUGAAGAAGGCCUUCGGGUUGUAAAGCACUUUCAGUGGGGAAGAAAGCCUUGGGGCUAAUACCCUCGAGGAAGGACAUCACCCACAGAAGAAGCACCGGCUAACUCCGUGCCAGCAGCCGCGGUAAUACGGAGGGUGCGAGCGUUAAUCGGAAUUACUGGGCGUAAAGCGCGCGUAGGCGGUCUGAUAAGCCGGGUGUGAAAGCCCCGGGCUCAACCUGGGAACGGCAUCCGGAACUGUCAGGCUAGAGUGCAGGAGAGGAAGGUAGAAUUCCCGGUGUAGCGGUGAAAUGCGUAGAGAUCGGGAGGAAUACCAGUGGCGAAGGCGGCCUUCUGGACUGACACUGACGCUGAGGUGCGAAAGCGUGGGUAGCAAACAGGAUUAGAUACCCCUGUAGUC